AUUGAACGCUGGCGGCAUGCUUUACACAUGCAAGUCGAACGGCAGCACAGGGAGCUUGCUCCCGGGUGGCGAGUGGCGCACGGGUGAGUAAUACAUCGGAACGUGUCCUGUUGUGGGGGAUAACUGCUCGAAAGGGUGGCUAAUACCGCAUGAGACCUGAGGGUGAAAGCGGGGGAUCGCAAGACCUCGCGCAAUUGGAGCGGCCGAUGCCCGAUUAGCUAGUUGGUGAGGUAAAGGCUCACCAAGGCGACGAUCGGUAGCUGGUCUGAGAGGACGACCAGCCACACUGGGGACUGAGACACGGGUCCAAACUCCUACGGGAGGCAGCAGUGAGGAAUAUUGGUCAAUGGACGAGAGUCUGAACCAGCCAAGUAGCGUGAAGGAUGAAGGUCCUACGGAUUGUAAACUUCUUUUAUAAGGGAAUAAACCUCCCACGUGUGGGAGCUUGUAUGUACCUUAUGAAUAG
This 466-nucleotide ribosomal RNA is filed under the name uncultured bacterium. Its description in RNAcentral is "bacterial SSU rRNA". It matches the Rfam family "Bacterial small subunit ribosomal RNA", at positions 30 to 489 of the family's 1533-position model. The record is from RNAcentral.